Non-coding RNA from Acanthosepion pharaonis, 114 nucleotides. NCBI's taxonomy places the organism in Eukaryota, Metazoa, Mollusca, Cephalopoda, Sepiida, Sepiidae. The record is from the annotation of a GenBank genome assembly.
UUACGGUCAUAUCCCGUUGAACUACCGGUUCAGGUACAAUCAACGCAGUUAAGCAAUGUCGGUCCUGGCCAGUACCUAGAUGGGUGACCGUUUGAGAAUAUCAGGUGCUGUAAG